This is a long non-coding RNA of Pseudopipra pipra, 6147 nucleotides long. RefSeq lists it as uncharacterized. The transcript is spliced from 2 exons. NCBI's taxonomy places the organism in Eukaryota, Metazoa, Chordata, Aves, Passeriformes, Pipridae. The record is from RefSeq and is a predicted model, not a curated record.
CUCUUUUCCAUCAGUCUAUACUAAAAAAAAUUAUUUCAGGGGUGGAGUCAAAGAUUUAGGGCUUUCUGGCAGCAAAAUACUGACAGAAACAUCUGGAAAAUGCAACUCAUGCACAAUCUGAAUUCAAACCUUUGUUUUUCUAGAUAUAUGUUUUUUUCUUGCACACAACCUUCCAAGGGAAUCUGACUUUGAGACUCAAUGAAGAGAUUCCCAAACUGUAGACAUCCUGAAGUAACUGGAUAACACAUCCUGGAGAUGUGCUAUUGGAGCACAGGCCAAAAGUAUGUCUUGGUUGCAUCUUCACCCAGAGGGAUGCAGAUACCAGCCAUAGAAGAUGUUCCUAAAGAGGAAGAGUUCGUAUCACUGGCUUUUAGGUUGGAGAAGAUGAUCAUGUUGGUAUCAGCUCAGCUGAACAAACUUGCCGUAUUUGGAAUUCCUGCUGUCUUCAGAGGAUGUUCUGUCCAUUGUCAGUGUGAACAGACCAGUCCAGUGCUCACAGGCAGUGACUGACUAUGAAGAAGAGCCAAAAGGUUUAUGCAUGAUGAGAAUCUGAAUCUUUAACUGACUUUGGUAAACUCUUAAAGGUUGGGUGCUGGGUUGUGGCUAUGAAAAACUGGAUUAUGGCGUGAAAACCUACCUCCGGCCUGCUAAUUGUCCUCAUUUUUUAUGUGUGCUUUUCUGUUUGAGAAACAGGACCUUCUCUAUUAAACUUUCUAAGAUUCACAGUUGGAAAGCACUGCAUAAAAACCGAGUUGUUCUUUUCGCUACUUGAUUAUCUUUUUUUCCCGAGGCCUGGGUGAGAUUAGAAGUUGGAGUUUGCGUGCUGAAGUUGUACUGUUGUUUUGUUUUGUUUUCCUAACCACUUCCACAUGCAAUCGAGUUUUAUUGCCAGCUGCUCGCCAUGGUCGAUCUCUUGGGAACUUGGGCUCCUGCUUGUUAUUAAACUCAUAGCCAUUGGUUAGUUUAAUUUUUUGCAAAUGUUAAUUUAUCAGGUUUGGGUUUCCACCAGUUGUCUUUACCCAGCCAGAGGUGGGCAAUGGAGUAAGCACCGAUGUGUAGGAAGUGCUCAUCAGAACCUCAAAUUCCUGUAGAGGGAGAAAUGGGCAAGUUUAUGGCCACUCUCACAUUCUUUCUGUAUUGAAAUUAAGUAUCUUGAAAUUUUUCACUUCCCACAGAGCAAGAAUAUGAAAUUUCCUUUAAUUAAUGGAAGAAAGAUUUUAUUUCGCAAUUUUAAAUGGGCUCCCCAUGAUGAUCACAGCAGGGAGCCCAUGAACCCAGACAUGCUGCUCACCAGGGAGGCUUCCAGGGAGGCCAGUGAGCUAGAAGGAAACCAGCCAGGUUUCCCUAGGAAGUGUGUUAGAAGAUCUGAUUCAAUCAAUCUGUUCCUGUAGAAUAUAUAUGCAUAUUUUUCAGGAACUGGCAUUUUCCUAUGGAAAAAGAUUUUAACUGAGUUAAAAUUGGAGAUUGGUGAGCACGCUUUCCAGUCAGUCCUAGCUGCAGUGGUGAGAAAGUCACAUGUGCUUUGUAAAUAUAUGUAAAUAUAUGCCAAUCUAACAUACAAGUUAGGCAACCACACUAGGCACCUAAAAUAGGGCCUUUGAAUGACCCAAAAGUCUCCUUAAGGACUUUUGCAUUGUUAUCUAUCAAUCUAAAGCUAGCGUUGGAAUGAGCAGACCACCAGGAUACUUCCCUACUUUGCAGGGCAAGGAUGUAUGGAAAUGGGUCCUCAGACAAAGCAGAAGCCAAAGCCAGGUGUGGUGAGAACAUCUGUACCCUCUUCAACUUUGCAUAGUUUCAGCAAAUUAAUGUGAUAGCUGUGAGUCCUGUGCGUUUCCCUGUGGAAUUUAUUCUUUUAAAACAAUCCUCUGCUUGUGUGUUUGAUCCCAUAGUACCAAUAGCUGUAAGACUCGAGGAACUGGGUACCUGUUCUGGAUUUAAGCAUCAGUUGUUGGUACCAAGUCACAAAGUCCUGAGCACUGGCUGCACUUUCAGCAGCCUGUGGGCUGUGCUUUCCCCAGAGACCUGUCAAUGCUUUGGAGGCUUGUGGCCAAAUUGCUGUGGUGCCAGAACGUGCAGCCUGUGCUGCUGAUGGGCACAGAUGACCACAGGAGGCACAGGGUGGUGGGGAGAAGGAGGAAGGUUUGGGGCUGAGCAGGGUAGCAUGGCCCACGUUCAGCCCCAUGAGAACUCCCACUGGGUAUUCCAGAGGAGGGAACACGGAGGGGCUUAGGUGAAAUCAGGGCAGAAACAGAGUGUCUGGCCCCAGGCACCAGAAAAAUGCUGAAACUAUUUCUCCUAUGGUGUCCUGGCGGGCAUAAUGGACAAAGGCUUGUGGGUCUCGUGUACUGUUCAGUGUCUGGGGACCUGAACUCCCACAAAAAAUGAAUUUUUCACACAGGCAGUUAAAGAGAGAUGAACUCUUGCCAGAGUUUGUACAUGGAGACCUUUCUACCCUGUACUUUCUCAGAAAACUCUGCAGGAACAAACACGUGAGGUAAAGCGGGAAAGGGUUUAACUCCUGAACGAGCUCUGGAGACUCUGCAGCAUUUCCUACCCCUGCCCUCACAUCAGAUCCUGCCCCAUUACUGUGGCCACAGGCUUUUCUAGAGGAAAACUGGGUUUGCAUUGGGACACACGUCCUGUGCUUCCAGCUCCAUUUGGCAGGGAGGGAAGGGGAGCUGUGGGAGAAUAAAAGGCUUAUUUAUGGCUCUGUUUGGUAAAGGCAAAUAUGGGUGGGAGGAGUAAGACUAGAGGUCUAAUUCUCUGUAUGUGGAAGUGAGGAGGAGACUGAUCCACUGGGGAGAAAAACAAUGUUACUGCUUGAUGUGAAAGUUUUAAUUUUCAUAGUUAGAUGAAAUAAUCUACUUUCUCUGUCACACAAGAAAUAAAAAAGUGUUUAUUUUUACACAUGUAAAGCUGUUGCAGUCACUGUCCUGCCUGAAAAGUACUGGGUUUAGUCCUCGGUUCUGUGUUUAGACCUCCCUUGGUUUGUAUUUUAGUCAAAACAUGUCUCCUUUGGGAAUACCACAUCCCACAGCACUGAGCCCCACCAGUGACUCGGUGCUGACUCAGAAGAGAAAGUGCCAUCCACUGAAUCAGCCACACAGCUGUGGGACAAGCCAGUGUUUUCCUUGGCUAUCUCCAGCAAAACAGUGAUCAGACACGUAAAUCUACUCAGCUUGCUAGGUGAGAUGAGAUCACAGUUAAAGAGGCAAAAGUCACAUCAGGGCAUAUUUAUAAUGAGGAAAAAAAGAACAUUUUCAUAGAGUUGCUUGUUUGUACAGGAUGUAGAGGGAAGUAUGAUGCAGGGCACCUGGAUUUGGAGCCCUCUGGAUGCUUCUUUUAGAAUUUUCUAAAGGGAAAUCAUCAUUCACACUUCAGAAAUGAGAAGAUGGAGGUACACUUUGGAGUCUUGUAAUUGAAGUAUUAUGCUACUAUUCUGACUGACUCAGAUUCUGCUGUUUUCCCUGCAUGACUCUCCUUCACAAUGGUAGCUUUUGGGGUUUGUGGACUUGUUUAUUUUUUUUAAGUUAUCAUUAUAUCAGCUGCAAUGCUACUCAUAGGGAGUAGUGGAAAGUGCUAGAAGUCAUUUCAUGGCUGUGUAAAAGUCUGUACAUGACUUGCCUUUCUAAAGUAAAAGUCAUAUAAUGAAUUAUGGGGAAUGCGCAAUAUGGAAAUAUCACAUUAAAAUAAAGGAAUGAUACAGAAAAAGGCAAUUUAAAGUUGAACUUCACAAAGCAGUAUUGUCAGAUCUGUUAUUCUGCAAAAUAUUUCCCUGCAAAGGUGAUUGAGGGAAGAUCCUUGACAUAGCAUUUGACUGCACCUGCAUGGAGUGGGCUCCUUCAGUAACAGUGCAAGUAAUCAUGUCUCUCUCUGCUGCCAUCGGUAAUUGCACCAAAAAUAGUUGAAUAUUUGCCCUUAUGUAUUUAAUGGCAUGAUAAACUUUCAUUGAGAGACUGCUGACCCUGUCAUCCAUCUGUUUUUGGUACUCGGCUGCCACAUAGUGGCCUCCUUCAUGGACCUGGAGAAUGGGAGGAGGAAGGGAGGAUAUCAAGUUGAUGACAAGAAUGAGCAAAUACAAGUGUCAUGACUCACUUAUGGUGUCUGUUAAUUCCUUACUGCUCAGGGAAGCAGAAUCUAAUUUUGUACCAUCUAAAACACAGGAAACAAACAUGAGGACACAGUAAAAAAAAGGCAGGAAACCCAUCAGUUAGCUAACAAAAGAUUCUUUCAAGAAAUCUAUAAAGGAGUUUGUAUGGAAGUAGAAGAGUUUUCUCUAACUUACUAAUAUCUGCUUCCUUUCCUUUGCCACCUCCUCUUUUCUCCCUAGAUACCAACAACUAAGAUUUGAAGUGUAUUCCUUUCAGGGGAGUUCACGUUAGAAGGAAAAGUGAAUAAAUGGGUGUAAAUGACGGGAAUUAACAGUUUCCUCACCUCGUGCUCAAGCUGGAUGUUCAGGUUUGGUUUCUUAUUGGUGGUUAAUGGAAGUGCAGCCCCUCUGCUGUGCUGACCCACGUGUGACUUGUAUGAAUGGCCUUCCCCCUCUUCCUGUCUGUAUCUGCCAGGGAAGAUGGGCUUUUCUCUUCAUGUGCAUGCCCCUGUAGUGAAAUGAGAUCCAGUUUUCCAGCUUGAGGAACUGUCCUGCACAGAAUAAUUUUUGAGCUUUUGUGAGGCAGUGGAGAAAUCCUCUUUUGAUCCCGACCUGGAACCUGUGCUAUUUUAAAUUUCAGCUAAAGCAUUCCUUCAUGCAAGCUCUGCCUUUUUAAAGUAUCAGAGAAUGGUUUGGGUUGGAAGGGACCUUAAAAAUCAUCUUGUUCCAAACUGCCUGUCAUGAGCAGGGAUGGCACCCCCUAGACCAGGUUACUCAAAGCCCCUUCCAAACUGGCAUUGAACACUUCCAGGGAUGGGGCUGUCACAGCUUCUCUGGGCAACCUGUGCCACCGGGAGGGAGGUGGCAAUGGGGUCUGUUUCGUGCCGUAGGAUCCUACCCGGAUCAAAACUUUGUAACCAUGAUAAAAUGCAGCAAAAAAAUGCAGCAAAGUUUUUUUUUUUGCUGCCCUAUAGGUUGAGAUUUUGACACCCUUCACUCCUCUAUGCCUGCCUUGUUCCUGUAAGCAAGUAAUCCAUUGCAGGUGGUCAGUCCUGGAGACUCCAGCUUUGGUCCGGUUUGUACGUAACUGGGCCCGACAGCCUUUUGUGAGAAAUGAUCUGAGGUAAUGGAAUCUCUUUAAGGUCCUCAGACUGACAGUGUGUGGCAGUCUGAUUUUCUGACAUAUCAAAUGUGGACUUCAGACCAUCAGGAUCCCUUAAAUGAAAGAUGGUAUUUAGGAAGUUUGGACUUCAGUCCUCUAUGUGCCUCCUGGGUAUGUGCUGAGUUCCUAGUGUUGGUUAUGGUAGUUUGAUCAUGAAUUAGUGCCAAGUAAGGAAGCAGAGAGGUAGGAAAAUUAACUCGGUCUGUAAGAAAAGACUGUUCAAAUCUUAAAAAUAGUUCCAUAUGAACUUCCAUAUGGCAAGUUUAGAUCUAUUAUUUUGUUUAAUCAUCUGUGACAGAAAUGUUAGUACCUGUUUGUUUUAAGAAUAAGCAUCCUGUGAAUUUGAUUUGUCAUAGUGUAAAGAGUCUGAUGUUGUUUACAGUAGGUGGAUGUGAAAUAUACUUCUGUAAAAGCUCUAGGAUCUUUAUUUUAACACAUGCACGUUAGUGCUAUUAGCAGAGUGAUGAGAAUCUACUUGGUGAAAUGAUUAUUUGUUUUUUCAUUGUGCUUAUAAAGCUGGUUUUAUUUGCCAUAAAUUCCAGUGCAGGCAGAGAAGCGUAAGUGACUGAGACAACUGUUGCAGGUAAGAGAGUUUCUACUCAGGGAAUUUUUAUUUAAUCUAAUUUAUUGCCAAUUAACAUGAACUUCUGGUCACCCCGGUUCUGAUGUUGAGAGAAAGAAGGAUAAAACUAAUCAAAUAAACACAUUGGUAAACUUUAGGAGUAAAGUAAAGUAAAGUAAAAUAAAGUGGUCUUACUGAUUGGCAUUCACAGAAGCAAAUACCUGGAUGUAACAAAUGAGAGGAGGAAUUGAAACUGUCGUAAAGGGACGUGGUGGGGCACCUACUUUCCUGGAUGUGAAUUUUCAAUAAAAGCAACCCCUUUCUGCAAUCUAA